RNAcentral lists this non-coding RNA (24 nucleotides) under Cricetulus griseus (Chinese hamster). Lineage: Eukaryota; Metazoa; Chordata; Mammalia; Rodentia; Cricetidae. The record is from RNAcentral.
AGUGGUUGGCUGCAGUUGUGUAGU